UUAGAUGGACACUAAUGCAGUCCCAUAAACA
Molecule: transfer RNA, 31 nt
Filed under: Hypsiprymnodon moschatus (musky rat kangaroo)
Lineage: Eukaryota; Metazoa; Chordata; Mammalia; Diprotodontia; Potoroidae
Description: partial tRNA-Phe
Source: RNAcentral